GGACCCGCACAAGCGGUGGAGCAUGUGGUUUAAUUCGAUGCAACGCGAAAAACCUUACCUACUCUUGACAUACUUGGAAGCUCUUGUAAUGAGAGUGUGCCUUUUGGAACCAAGAUACAGGUGCUGCAUGGCUGUCGUCAGCUCGUGUCGUGAGAUGUUCCGUUAAGUCGGAUAACGAGCGCAACCCUUACCCUUAUUUGCCAGCGGUUAGGCCGGGAACUAUAAGGGAACUGCCGGUGAUAAACCGGAGGAAGGUGAGGACGACGUCAAGUCAUCAUGGCCCUUACGAGUAGGGCUACACACGUGCUACAAUGGGGAAUACAGACGGACGCUAAGCCGCGAGGUGGUG
Molecule: ribosomal RNA, 349 nt
Filed under: uncultured bacterium
Lineage: Bacteria
Description: bacterial SSU rRNA
Rfam family: Bacterial small subunit ribosomal RNA
Source: RNAcentral